GAUGAACGCUGGCGGCGUGCUUAACACAUGCAAGUCGAACGCUGAAGCCUGGUGCUUGCACUGGGUGGAUGAGUGGCGAACGGGUGAGUAACACGUGAGUAACCUGCCCUUGACUUCGGGAUAAGCCCGGGAAACUGGGUCUAAUACUGGAUAUGACCUCCUGCCGCAUGGUGGGGGGUGGAAAGAUUUAUCGGUUGGGGAUGGACUCGCGGCCUAUCAGUUUGUUGGUGGGGUAAUGGCCUACCAAGACGACGACGGGUAGCCGGCCUGAGAGGGUGACCGGCCACACUGGGACUGAGACACGGCCCAGACUCCUACGGGAGGCAGCAGUGGGGAAUAUUGCACAAUGGGCGCAAGCCUGAUGCAGCGACGCCGCGUGAGGGAUGACGGCCUUCGGGUUGUAAACCUCUUUCAGUAGGGAAGCAGCCCCUCGGGGUGACGGUACCUGCAGAAGAAGCGCCGGCUAACUACGUGCCAGCAGCCGCCGUAACAC
RNAcentral lists this ribosomal RNA (493 nucleotides) under uncultured bacterium. RNAcentral describes it as "bacterial SSU rRNA". It matches the Rfam family "Bacterial small subunit ribosomal RNA", at positions 28 to 526 of the family's 1533-position model. The record is from RNAcentral.